CAGUCGCCGCGGGAAAACGAAGGGGGCUAGCGUUGUUCGGAAUUACUGGGCGUAAAGCGCACGUAGGCGGACAUUUAAGUCAGGGGUGAAAUCCCGGGGCUCAACCCCGGAACUGCCUUUGAUACUGGGUGUCUUGAGUGUGGAAGAGGUCAGUGGAAUUGCGAGUGUAGAGGUGAAAUUCGUAGAUAUUCGCAGGAACACCAGUGGCGAAGGCGGCUGACUGGUCCACAACUGACGCUGAGGUGCGAAAGCGUGGGGAGCAAACAGGAUUAGAUACCCCCGUAGUCCCUGUCUCUUAUAA
Molecule: ribosomal RNA, 301 nt
Filed under: uncultured bacterium
Lineage: Bacteria
Description: partial 16S ribosomal RNA
Rfam family: Bacterial small subunit ribosomal RNA
Source: RNAcentral